GCAUCAGUGGUCUAACGGUUAUGAUCCGGUCUUCCCAUGGAGAGAAUUAUUAUCAGUUUGGCCGGGAAAGGGGUUCGACUCCCCUCUGAUGCA
This 93-nucleotide transfer RNA is filed under the name Lentinula lateritia. RNAcentral's name for it is "tRNA-Gly". It matches the Rfam family "tRNA". From Rfam's summary of the family: Transfer RNA (tRNA) molecules are approximately 80 nucleotides in length. Their secondary structure includes four short double-helical elements and three loops (D, anti-codon, and T loops). The record is from RNAcentral. Lineage: Eukaryota; Fungi; Basidiomycota; Agaricomycetes; Agaricales; Omphalotaceae.